GAUGAACGCUGGCGGCGUGCCUAAUACAUGCAAGUCGAGCGAACGGACGAGAAGCUUGCUUUUCUGAUGUUAGCGGCGGACGGGUGAGUAACACGUGGAUAACCUACCUAUAAGACUGGGAUAACUUCGGGAAACCGGAGCUAAUACCGGAUAAUAUUUUGAACCGCAUGGUUCAAGAGUGAAAGACGGUCUUGCUGUCACUUAUAGAUGGAUCCGCGCUGCAUUAGCUAGUUGGUAAGGUAACGGCUUACCAAGGCAACGAUGCAUAGCCGACCUGAGAGGGUGAUCGGCCACACUGGAACUGAGACACGGUCCAGACUCCUACGGGAGGCAGCAGUAGGGAAUCUUCCGCAAUGGGCGAAAGCCUGACGGAGCAACGCCGCGUGAGUGAUGAAGGUCUUCGGAUCGUAAAGCUCUGUUAUUAGGGAAGAACAUAUGUGUAAGUAACUGUGCACAUCUUGACGGUACCUAAUCAGAAAGCCACGGCUAACUACGUG
RNAcentral lists this ribosomal RNA (497 nucleotides) under uncultured bacterium. RNAcentral's name for it is "partial 16S ribosomal RNA". It matches the Rfam family "Bacterial small subunit ribosomal RNA", at positions 28 to 507 of the family's 1533-position model. The record is from RNAcentral.